AGCAGGAGGGUUAAUGGAGUAGAAAAUAGAAACAGGCUGUAAUUCCUGAAAAGGCUGGGUCAGAAAGAGCCAGAAGAUUGAAAAAUUGAUGAAGAAAAAUUGGUCAGGUACAAGCCCUUCACCAAAGUACUCCUUAAAAUUUUGGCUUGGAAUCCAGAAAGGGGGCAUGCACAUGUUCUUAAGGUAACAAAGUCCAUAAAUGCUCAUAACAAGCCUCGGGUUAUGGUGAAGGUGGCUCUUAGAAACUCAUUUUUUCUUUAGAACCGAUACCCCUUAUUCCCAAGACUGCGCUACAACCGUUCUGGGUAAAUGUGAGGCAUUUGCAAAGCCCAUGUUCCUUGUCUUAAAUGUGUCCUUCCCAGGAAGUGGAAAGGCUUAAAUUAUAUUUAAUUAGGAUUUAUUCAGCUCCUCUGUGCUUUCAGUUGAUCAGCACUGAGAAACUUGUUUAUGGAGGUGAGUGUUUACUGCCUUUGGAAAUCUGUGGCCUGUGCUUAGGAUACCUUGGAGAUUACUUCUGGAGAGAAACUCUGAAUGAGUGGCAGCAGGGGUUGGAAAACCUCCCUCUGAUACAGAGUCACCCUGUUAGUUCACACAGUGGGUCACAACUCAGGGGAGGUAUUUCAGAAGGCUGGCUAAUCAGAGAAGCUGUGUGGUCCUAAAACUACUUAAAUUGUCUUCUUCAUUUUACACUCGGUAGGACCAUUACAUCAGGUCAGAUUCUUUACCUCCGGAUAGUAGUAAUACCUGAGAGGAAUGGCUUUAGCUGGGAAGGAAGGGAGGUGGAAACUUACUCUUUCUUAGCUCCUGAUCUGUGUGCUCUUGAUAGGUGAUGGAAAAAGAAGCCUGGAUAGGGAGAUGGGUUCUUACCAAUGUUCACCUUGGUUAACUCUGCAGAAGUCAAUUGACCAACCUUGUUAAAGUUAUCAUCUGCAAUAGCACAGAAGUGGGAAGCAACAGGGUUAUAGACAGAUUUAUCCCUGCGUUGGAGAAAGGCACAAAAUGAUUAACACAGGUUAUGCAGAUACUUACUGACUAAAUGUUUAUAUGCCUCCCAAAUUCAUGUCCUGAAGCCCUAACCCCCAUUGUAUUGGCAUAUCGAAGUUGGGCCUUUGGGAGGUAAUUAAGUUUAGACGAAGUCCUGAUGGGGUCUCCAUUAUGGGAUUAGUGUCCUUAUAAGAAGAGAAAGAUACCAGAGCUCCCUGUCUCCCCACAAUGGAGAAAUAGCUGUCUACAAGCCACAAGCCACAAGCCAGAAAGAGAAUUGUCAUCAAAACCUGAUCAUGCUGGCACCCUGGUCUUACACGUCUAUUCAGUCUCCAGAAGUGUGAGAAAUAGAUUUCUGUUGUUUAAGCUUGAGCUAAGUAAGACAUAAACAAGCCAGUCUGGCAUCUGCCGCAAUAUGAGCCUGUCUCAGAGUGAAAAUCCAUGGGCCCCCUGUCAAGGAAAUGCUAUUUCUGAGCACAGUGAUUAAGAAUGGCUGGAAAGAAUUGGUUUUUCCUUUCCCCUUAGUUGUGUACUAGCUCCUUCACUUUGAGCAAGCAGCUUCCCUAAGUCUUGUUUGUUUUCUCACCUGCAAAAGAAGGAUAGCAAUCCUACCCAUCUCGUAGGCUCUUUAUGCUCAAGCAGGUUAGCACAUAUAAACGUUUGGCAUAGUUUCUAGCACACAUUAGGUGCUCAAUAAAUGUUGGCCAUAUUGAAUGGCUACUUAUGGUCGUGCAGAGAGUUUGGCUCUUUCCUACCUCACCAGUCCUAGCACCCACCAUUCUCUCCACUGCUUUGGGAGCAUAAGCUACCCUGGCUGUCUUUGGGUGUUUUUGUUUUUUUGUUUCAAGUAAGCCAUGUCUCUCCCACCUCAGGGCCUUUGCAGAUGCUGUUUCCUCUGCCUCGAAUAUAACCACUCUCUUUGCCUAGUUAACUCACAUCCAACCAUUGGCUUUCAGCUCAACCAUAACUUUUUUGGGAAACCUUCCUUGAAUUCUGUGGCACUAGCUCUCUAUCCAUCCCCUGUUGUAACCAUGCUGGCAUAUUUUUUCAAGUAUUUUUGUGAUGAUUGGGUUAUGAUUUUUCUUUCCCAACAGAAAGCUUUAUGAGAACUCACUGUGGCCUUAAACUCUGCAGGCAGAAAAAACUACUGACUGAAGAAAUCCAUGCUGUGUUUUGAUGUAGCUCCCAGAGCACAAGGGUGGCAACUGUUCCUCAGAGCUGAAAAUGCCAAGUCAAACCUAUAAUGUCCGGGGUGGCAGCUAAGGGAAGAGAGCUAAAUGCACAAUUCAACCUGCUCCUAAUAUAUUUCUGAGAGACUGAGGUCUAGACAGUUUCAUUUGGCUUGUGAGGACUUUGGCAAGACUCAACAAAUAGGAAAAUCCCUCAACUCAACCACAGGCUGGGAAAUGCCAGCACCACAAGGCAUUUGGGAGCUCAAAUUCACUGAAGAAAUGGCAGAUUCAUGUCUCCUGGCUUAUGCUCACUCCAGGGUAUCCACUGGAUAAAUGGGCCAGGUUGAGGCUUUCUGCAAGACAGGAGUCAAAAUGGAGGAUUAAAUGGUGAGUUUGAUGCCUUAUUCUUUCUUCACUGAUAGACAUUUGUUUCACGUCUGUCUUUGGGUUUUGGGCAGAAUGCAGGUAUUGGAUG
This is a long non-coding RNA of Acinonyx jubatus (cheetah), 2631 nucleotides long. RefSeq lists it as uncharacterized. Lineage: Eukaryota; Metazoa; Chordata; Mammalia; Carnivora; Felidae. The record is from RefSeq and is a predicted model, not a curated record. The transcript is spliced from 3 exons.